AAAAAUUUAGUUAAUCUAUAACAUUAACUUGUCAAGUUAAAAUAACUAUAUUAGUAAUUUUUG
RNAcentral lists this transfer RNA (63 nucleotides) under Aquatica ficta. RNAcentral describes it as "tRNA-Asp". The record is from RNAcentral. Lineage: Eukaryota; Metazoa; Arthropoda; Insecta; Coleoptera; Lampyridae.